AUGCCACGCCUACAGCCCCAGGUCAAGAGCAAUGCCUUCUUCAAGGUGCCAACCAAAAUGACACCUCUCCACACAUUUAUCACUAUAUUGUACAGAGAACCAAGUGCCCUGACCUAUGCUAUAAAGAGAUCAUGUGAAAACAAAGUUGAAGUUGUUGCUCUGGAUGAGAAGGAAAGUGAUCUUCGAGCAACACUAGACCUGGACCUAGAACCACUGGUUCACUUAGAACGAGUUAGUCGAUUGUUGUGA
Molecule: ribosomal RNA, 249 nt
Filed under: Triticum aestivum (bread wheat)
Lineage: Eukaryota; Viridiplantae; Streptophyta; Magnoliopsida; Poales; Poaceae
Description: partial small subunit ribosomal RNA
Source: RNAcentral